This 253-nucleotide ribosomal RNA is filed under the name uncultured bacterium. Its description in RNAcentral is "partial 16S ribosomal RNA". It matches the Rfam family "Bacterial small subunit ribosomal RNA", at positions 524 to 776 of the family's 1533-position model. The record is from RNAcentral.
UACGUAGGUGGCAAGCGUUGUCCGGAUUUACUGGGCGUAAAGAGCGCGCAGGCGGUCGUUCAAGUCGGGUGUGAAAGCCCCCGGCUCAACUGGGGAGGGUCACGCGAUACUGAUCGACUCGAAGGCAGGAGAGGGAAGUGGAAUUCCCGGUGUAGUGGUGAAAUGCGUAGAUAUCUGGAGGAACACCGGUGGCGAAGGCGGCAUCCUGGACCGGUAUUGACGCUGAGGCGCGAAAGCCAGGGGAGCAAACGGG